Molecule: transfer RNA, 65 nt
Filed under: Cryptocercus hirtus
Lineage: Eukaryota; Metazoa; Arthropoda; Insecta; Blattodea; Cryptocercidae
Description: tRNA-Phe
Source: RNAcentral
ACUUAAAUAGCUUAUGUGUAGAGCAUAACAUUGAAGAUGUUAGUGAGAUUUAUAAUCUUUAGGUA